UUCUGGCUGGGCAUCUCCCACUUGUGACAAAAGCCUCCUAAAAAUCUGCCAGCCAGGCAGACCCAGCACCCAGAACCUACCAGAAUCAAUUCCGGGGUCAGUGCGUGGGACAGCCCAGGAAUGUCAUGCUGAUGGAGGUCACGAUUCUUGCCCCUUCCAGCCAAACCAUGUACGCAGAACCUGCCCUGCACCCCCAGUGAAAAAAGCUUCAAGGGAAAAAAGAACCACUGUGAGAGGGAAGAAGAUGGGCUCUUGGGAGCUCCUUGCCAUAAAAUGAAAGAACUUCACACUUGAAGGCGUGCUUGCCAGCUCAGCCUACUUGGGUGUCAUUUAUAAGAAGUAGGUUCUCCCUUUGUGCACAAACACCCUUUGAUAUGGUGCUUCUGCCAUAGCCUGGAUUGUUGUUUGCAAGCAGAAUUCACUUUCCUUGUGAGGAAACAAAUCUCCCGUGCCUUUGCGUGUCUGUCAGGAAGUGAAACUGCCUCAGUGUUCUUCCAAGCGUCCUGCCCUGAAUUUCUGAACAACUGGGAGUCAGUGGAGGACCUUCCCAAGCAUGUUCUAUGGCACCUGAGCCUUUGUACUUCGCCCUGCUGUUCCACUAACUGUGUGCCACACUCACUGAGAACGACGGAGGUCCACAGUGCCUAACACAAGAAGUGCCUGCAUUUGUGUAUGUGUCAUCACAUUUUUACAACUGCAUAUCACUAUGUUUGACAGCAUAUAUCAGUAUGUGCACCUGUUUAACUGUAUUUGUGCUUGCCCUUUUUCUUGGCUUUGCGUGAGAUUCUGUGAACAGAUCCUUCUCCAUGCUUUUCCAUGACAGAAGUGCAUCUUUUUUUCUGGGAGAGUUCAAGUGCGGGUCGAACAAUCGAUUCCUCCUCCUUUUCUUUUUUAAGUUUCCUGUCGUUCUUUUGCCCAGAUCAGCACUGAAGGAAAAUAGGAAGGGCAGCCUGGAGUGUGCACGUCUGUACAGCCAGAGACAGAACGCACGGCUGCGUCUGUGUGAGCACACGCAGGAUUUCAUACUUACACAAACACGUACACACACACACACACACACACACACGUAUGUUUGGUCCUGCCUGUCUGUGUGCACCAAACACUGCGGCGUUCUUACAGGACACGUAUUUCAGAGACGGGAAUAAAGCUGGGAAGUGGGAAAAGUUUGGAAGCACUGCUCGGUUCCAAGCCGGACUAUUAACCCUUCCCAACAUUCUCCCCCAGGAACUGCAAAAGCUUUGAAGGAAAUGCUGUAAGAUCCCAGACAGUUCCUACAAUUUUCCACGUGGGGAGAAAGGAGGGUUAUUCUGCGAGCAGCAUUGUUCCAGCACCAUAAAUUCAGCUGAUUAUCCACAAUCCUUACGGCUGCGUUUAGUCUCAUAAAGACCGGGGAAAAUAACAACAAAAACCCAGAAAACGAGAGAAAUUCCCAUCCUGCGUUUUCUGGCAGGAAAUCUGACAGGAUCGUCACAACUCAAAGGAAAGAAUGCGUGUAAACUGGGCUCUGAUUGGAAACACGGCAGGCAGGCAGAGCAGGCAGCGCAGCAGUUCGUUCUGUGCAACUUUGACAGAGGUUUCCAAGAGAGAUGCUCUGAUCUGACGAGCAUCCUCUGGGGCUGCGAGUUGGAACUUUGUGACGCUGGGAACCCAAAUGUGUGCGAGAUGGGCGCUAUUUUGCUGUGAUUCUGCAGAAGGAGCACGGAGACGCUGCCUGUCUGGAGUCCCAUAAAACAGAUCUUUUCCCUGUCAUUAAGAAUAUUGAUGUUCAUUAGGCCCGGGCGUCAAUGAGUCUUUGUGCAAAUGAAACGAAAUCUGAGUCAAAUUGUGACCCUGAGUCCAACACGGAACUGCUCAUCGGCUGCACUCAGGGGUGGGGGAUCAGAGGUUCCCCGGCACCAAAAAUCCACCUCCCCACCUAUGAGACAAAAACCUCCCUGCGGCCACAACCGCGGAGCCGAAGGAAACCUCGAGCCCCCCGCCCCAAACCACCCUGCUCACAACGUCCCUUCUGAUAAAGGUGCUACUUUUAGCAGCCUCUCAAGGUGAGAUCCCCCAUGGAAGACAGGGGCUGCCCCAGCUCCCGGCACAGCAUUCUGCAGGUAAAGCUCCUUCCUUUGAAUGUGCUGCGAGGGCCCUUCUCCCGCUGCCGUGAGUCUGAGGCUGAUGUUCCUGCUGUACAAACUCGGGGCUAAUAAAGCAAGCUCGAGCCUCGUAAUUCACAGCAAGGCGCUUUGACGGAGCACUUUCAGUGUUAACAGUGUGACGGGCGCUUUUUGGAGCUAAUGUCUCACUGAUAUUAACGGCCGUGCCCACGGAGCAAAAUCUGCAAUGUAAAAGCGAGUGGCUUGCUAAAUAUUUACAAGCUCGCACAUCUUGCUGUCCCAUUCAUUUCCUUGACCUUUCAUGCAG
Molecule: long non-coding RNA, 2409 nt
Organism: Gallus gallus (chicken)
Lineage: Eukaryota; Metazoa; Chordata; Aves; Galliformes; Phasianidae
Source: Ensembl